This 466-nucleotide ribosomal RNA is filed under the name uncultured bacterium. Its description in RNAcentral is "partial 16S ribosomal RNA". It matches the Rfam family "Bacterial small subunit ribosomal RNA", at positions 28 to 507 of the family's 1533-position model. The record is from RNAcentral.
GACGAACGCUGGCGGCGCGCCUAACACAUGCAAGUCGAACGAGCGAGAGAGAGCUUGCUUUCUCGAGCGAGUGGCGAACGGGUGAGUAACGCGUGAGGAACCUGCCUCAAAGAGGGGGACAACAGUUGGAAACGACUGCUAAUACCGCAUAAGCCCACGGUGCCGCAUGGCACAGAGGGAAAAGGAGCAAUCCGCUUUGAGAUGGCCUCGCGUCCGAUUAGCUAGUUGGUGAGGUAAUGGCCCACCAAGGCGACGAUCGGUAGCCGGACUGAGAGGUUGAACGGCCACAUUGGGACUGAGACACGGCCCAGACUCCUACGGGAAGCAGCAGUGGGGAAUAUUGCACAAUGGGGGAAACCCUGAUGCAGCGACGCCGCGUGGAGGAAGAAGGUCUUCGGAUUGUAAACUCCUGUUGUUGGGGAAGAUAAUGACGGUACCCAACAAGGAAGUGACGGCUAACUACGUG